UCCAAUACACUUCUAGCCUAUAGUAGCUCACUCCCUUCCGCGUUCCGCUCAUUUCGACGGAACUCGGCACGACUUACGGGAAAGUGAUAUGUUAUAUUCCCCACCCCUUAAAAUUGUUUCGGCCGCGAAACUAAUUCAUUCGUAAUUCAAAAUCCAUACCUCAUCUUAGUUCCUCGAAAAGAUGAGGAUGACGCUCCUUCAUCACGUCCUCAAGCUCCCACGUCUCUUCCCGAUCGCCGUGUUCGCUCCAAUGGAUCUUAACAUACGGAAUUUCUCGAUCCCGUAGCUUUCGCACCUCCCGAUCAACAAUGUACGCCGGGAACUCCUCGUAAGUCAUAUCCUCUUAAAGCUCUAUCGGGAUAUACGAGAGAAUAUGCUCUGGAUCGUGAACGUACUUGCGGAGAUUGGAUACAUGAAACACAUCGUGCACCCCCGCAAGCCUCGGCGGUAAUGCUACCCUGUAGGCCACCGCGCCAAUCCUUUCCAAGAUCUCAGAGGGUCCAACAAAUCGGGGACUUAGCUUUCCCCGGACACCAAACCUCUUAACACCGCGCAUCGGCGAUACCUUUAAAAACACGCGGUCUCCAACCGCGAACUCAAUGUCCUUCCUUUGCUUGUCGGCAUAACUCUUGUGCCUCGACUGCGCCGUCGCUAAUCUUUGCCGGGCAAGACGAACUUUCUCCUCCGCCUCUCGAACAACUUCUGGGCCAAGAACAACUUUCUCGCCCACAUCGCUCCAAUGAAUUGGCGAGCGACACUUCUUUCCAUAAAGGGCUUCGAAUGGCGCCAUUGCAAUACUUUCUUGAUAGCUAUUGUUGUAUGCAAACUCCGCCAUCGAUAAGUAAUCGUGCCACCCUCCACGAUAGUCAAGCACACAUGCUCGCAACAUGUCCUCGAGUAUCUGGAUUGUUCUCUCAGAUUGUCCAUCACUCUGAGGAUGAAACGCCGUACUAAAAUCGAGCCGCGUGCCUAGAGCAUCCUGCAAGCUCCUCCAGAAAUGAGAAGUGAACCAGGGAUCUCGAUCUGAUACAAUCGACACAGGAACCCCAUGUAGUCUCACUAUCUCGUCCAAGUACGUCUGGGCCAACUUGUCUCCUGACCACGUGGUGUGGAUCGGCAAAAAGUGAGCCGAUUUCGUCAAACGGUCCACAACCACCCAUAUGGCGUCAUGUCCAGCUUGUGAUCGGGGUAGCCCGACCACAAAGUCCAUCGUGACAUCCUCCCACUUCCACACGGGGAUCGGUAGGCUCUGCAACUUUCCCGCGGGAAAACGACGCUCGGCUUUUACUUGUUGGCACAUNAGAGAGAGAGAGAGAGAAGAGAAGGAUUUUAGAGAGAGAGAGGGAAAGGUGUUGGUGUAGGAGUGAGAGCAAAUGAGCUCUCACUCAUGCCCUAGCCCAUAUAACCCCUCUCAUGACAUAUUUGCAUUUAAACCCCUCAACUUUUCAUCUUUGCAAACAGCCCUUACUAGGCAAUUUCAGGCUCGGGGACCGGUCUCUCCCUUCAGGGACCGGUUCCCGAGAGCUAUCCUGCACUCUGCACAACAGGGGACCGGUCUCCCCUGACGCAACCGGUCUCCCGGGACCGAUCUCCCGCCGAAGGACCGGUUCCCGAGAGCUCAGUUUCCAGGACUUAGCCGAUUUUUUCCUCUGCUCGGCUAAUCAACGUUCGGGAACCGGUCUCUCACCCAAGGGACCGGUCCCCGAGAGUAAAAAUUCUGAAAAUUCUCCAGGAUUGCAGUUUCACUCUCUCGGGUCCCUCAAUGCUCUACAUAUAGGCUCCAAUACACUUCUAGCCUAUAGUAGCUCACUCCCUUCCGCGUUCCGCUCAUUUCGACGGAACUCGGCACGACUUACGGGAAAGUGAUAUGUUAUAUUCCCCACCCCUUAAAAUUGUUUCGGCCGCGAAACUAAUUCAUUCGUAAUUCAAAAUCCAUACCUCAUCUUAGUUCCUCGAAAAGAUGAGGAUGACGCUCCUUCAU
This 1981-nucleotide long non-coding RNA is filed under the name Ananas comosus (pineapple). RNAcentral describes it as "long non-coding RNA (ACOM_LNC015064)". The record is from RNAcentral. Lineage: Eukaryota; Viridiplantae; Streptophyta; Magnoliopsida; Poales; Bromeliaceae.